Molecule: ribosomal RNA, 221 nt
Filed under: Pheidole vorax
Lineage: Eukaryota; Metazoa; Arthropoda; Insecta; Hymenoptera; Formicidae
Description: partial large subunit ribosomal RNA
Source: RNAcentral
GAAUUUUAUAUAAAUUUAUUAUUUGAAUUUAUUAAUUAUUAAGAUGAUAAAUUUAUAUUUUAUUGGGAGGAUAAAUAAAUUUAAAUAACUUUAUAAAAUAAAAAAAGACAUUAAUUAAUGAAUGUAGUUAUGAAUGGCUAAAGUUAGUUUAAGUAGAAUUAAUUACCUUAGGGAUAACAGCGUAAUAUUUUUUGAAAGAUCUGAUUGAUAAAAAUGAUUGC